AGGAUAAACGCUGGCGGCGUGCCUAACACAUGCAAGUCGAACGCGCUUUCGGGCUUCGGUGCGAGAGCGAGUGGCGGACGGGUGAGUAACACAUGGGUACCUACCUUGGAGUGAGGGAUACCGGCGAGAAAUCGCCGACAAUACCGCAUAGGCUUCUUCACAAGGGAAGCAAAGUGACGCGAGUCACGCUUUGAGAUGGGCCUAUGGCCGAUUAGCUAGUUGGGGGGGUAACGGCUUCCCAAGGCGACGAUCGGUAGCUGGUCUGAGAGGACGAUCAGCCACACUGGGAUUGAGAACGGCCCAGACUCCUACGGGGGGCAGCAGUGAGGAAUUUUCCGCAAUGGAGGCAACUCUGACGGAGCAACGCCGCGUGCAGGAGGAAGGUUUUCGGAUCGUAAACUGCUUUUCUCGGGGACGAGCGAAGGACGGUACCCGAGGAACGAAGCCCCGGCUAACUACGCGCCAGCAGCCGC
RNAcentral lists this ribosomal RNA (473 nucleotides) under uncultured bacterium. Its description in RNAcentral is "SSU rRNA". It matches the Rfam family "Bacterial small subunit ribosomal RNA", at positions 26 to 518 of the family's 1533-position model. The record is from RNAcentral.